GCCAGGCAUGGUGGCACAUACCUGUAAUUCCAGCCACUCAGGAGGCUGAGAUGGGAGGAUUGCUAGUUCAAAGCCAGCCUCAGCAACUUAGUGAGACCCUAUCUCUA
Molecule: small RNA, 107 nt
Filed under: Marmota monax (woodchuck)
Lineage: Eukaryota; Metazoa; Chordata; Mammalia; Rodentia; Sciuridae
Source: RNAcentral